This 490-nucleotide long non-coding RNA is filed under the name Camelus dromedarius (Arabian camel). Its description in RNAcentral is "lncRNA (ENSCDRG00005002737.1)". The record is from RNAcentral. Lineage: Eukaryota; Metazoa; Chordata; Mammalia; Artiodactyla; Camelidae.
UUCUGCCCGACAGGACAAGCAUCUGAGCUCCUUUGGAAAGGACGCCCAUCUUUCAUACUGUACACUGGAAUUCAGAAAGAGCUAGAGGGACAAAUUGUAGACGUUUCCUAAGAAAAUAAAGGACUGGAAUUCAUGGAUUUGCUCAAACCUCUCCCUUGCUGCAGACACUGAGCCUGCACCACCUCUUCAGCCCACCACGGACGAGGCCUGUGUGUGUCUUUCAGGUGCGUGAAGACCUCAGGAGCCAAGUUUUCCAGGUCUUCACCUGUUGUCAGUUUGCACCAGCUGCUUCUCUCCACCUAACUCUGGGGUCCUUCCUGGGAAGUUAGUCCAACAGAGAAGCCACCACCCACAGGAAGUCCGGGCGCACGCUGAGCAGUGGACAGAGGCCGACACUUGAGGUACGUAAAGGCGUUCCCAUGGCAUCUCCCAGAUUUUGUCUUUGGGGAUGACAGGGAUAAUGAGGAAUGGGGCCAGGGAAGUCUCAGGC